This 644-nucleotide ribosomal RNA is filed under the name uncultured bacterium. Its description in RNAcentral is "bacterial SSU rRNA". It matches the Rfam family "Bacterial small subunit ribosomal RNA", at positions 232 to 885 of the family's 1533-position model. The record is from RNAcentral.
CGCGGCCUAUCAGCUUGUUGGUGGGGUGAUGGCCUACCAAGGCGGUGACGGGUAGCCGGCCUGAGAGGGCGACCGGCCACACUGGGACUGAGACACGGCCCAGACUCCUACGGGAGGCAGCAGUGGGGAAUAUUGCGCAAUGGGCGGAAGCCUGACGCAGCGACGCCGCGUGGGGGAUGACGGCCUUCGGGUUGUAAACCUCUUUCGCCAGGGACGAAGCUUUUGUGACGGUACCUGGAGAAGAAGCACCGGCCAACUACGUGCCAGCAGCCGCGGUAACACGUAGGGUGCGAGCGUUGUCCGGAAUUAUUGGGCGUAAAGAGCUCGUAGGCGGUGUGUCGCGUCGGCCGUGAAAACCUGGGGCUUAACUCUGGGCGUGCGGUCGAUACGGGCAUCACUAGAGUUCGGCAGGGGAGACUGGAAUUCCUGGUGUAGCGGUGAAAUGCGCAGAUAUCAGGAGGAACACCGGUGGCGAAGGCGGGUCUCUGGGCCGAUACUGACGCUGAGGAGCGAAAGCAUGGGGAGCGAACAGGAUUAGAUACCCUGGUAGUCCAUGCCGUAAACGUUGGGCGCUAGGUGUGGGGACCAUUCCACGGUUUCUGUGCCGCAGCUAACGCAUUAAGCGCCCCGCCUGGGGAGUACGG